Molecule: ribosomal RNA, 1222 nt
Filed under: metagenome
Description: bacterial SSU rRNA
Rfam family: Bacterial small subunit ribosomal RNA
Source: RNAcentral
AGAGUUUGAUCCUGGCUCAGGAUGAACGCUAGCUACAGGCUUAACACAUGCAAGUCGAGGGGAAACGAUAUUGGAAGCUUGCUUCCGAUAGGCGUCGACCGGCGCACGGGUGAGUAACGCGUAUCCAACCUGCCCAUCACUUGGGGAUAACCUUGCGAAAGUAAGACUAAUACCCAAUGACGUCUCUAGAAGACAUCUGAAGGAGAUUAAAGAUUUAUCGGUGAUGGAUGGGGAUGCGUCUGAUUAGCUUGUUGGCGGGGUAACGGCCCACCAAGGCAACGAUCAGUAGGGGUUCUGAGAGGAAGGUCCCCCACAUUGGAACUGAGACACGGUCCAAACUCCUACGGGAGGCAGCAGUGAGGAAUAUUGGUCAAUGGGCGAGAGCCUGAACCAGCCAAGUAGCGUGCAGGAAGACGGCCCUAUGGGUUGUAAACUGCUUUUAUAAGGGAAUAAAGUUAGUCUCGUGAGACUUUUUGCAUGUACCUUAUGAAUAAGGACCGGCUAAUUCCGUGCCAGCAGCCGCGGUAAUACGGAAGGUCCGGGCGUUAUCCGGAUUUAUUGGGUUUAAAGGGAGCGUAGGCCGGAGAUUAAGCGUGUUGUGAAAUGUAGACGCUCAACGUCUGCACUGCAGCGCGAACUGGUUUCCUUGAGUACGCACAAAGUGGGCGGAAUUCGUGGUGUAGCGGUGAAAUGCUUAGAUAUCACGAAGAACUCCGAUUGCGAAGGCAGCUCACUGGAGCGCAACUGACGCUGAGGCUCGAAAGUGCGGGUAUCGAACAGGAUUAGAUACCCUGGUAGUCCGCACGGUAAACGAUGGAUGCCCGCUGUUGGUCUGAACAGGUCAGCGGCCAAGCGAAAGCAUUAAGCAUCCCACCUGGGGAGUACGCCGGCAACGGUGAAACUCAAAGGAAUUGACGGGGGCCCGCACAAGCGGAGGAACAUGUGGUUUAAUUCGAUGAUACGCGAGGAACCUUACCCGGGCUUGAAUUGCAGAGGAAGGAUUUGGAGACAAUGACGCCCUUCGGGGUCUCUGUGAAGGUGCUGCAUGGUUGUCGUCAGCUCGUGCCGUGAGGUGUCGGCUUAAGUGCCAUAACGAGCGCAACCCCUCUCCUUAGUUGCCAUCAGGUUAAGCUGGGCACUCUGGGGACACUGCCACCGUAAGGUGUGAGGAAGGUGGGGAUGACGUCAAAUCAGCACGGCCCUUACGUCCGGGGCUACACAC